Lepisosteus oculatus (spotted gar) is the source of this 1053-nucleotide long non-coding RNA. RefSeq lists it as uncharacterized. The record is from RefSeq and is a predicted model, not a curated record. NCBI's taxonomy places the organism in Eukaryota, Metazoa, Chordata, Actinopteri, Semionotiformes, Lepisosteidae.
GGAGCGAAGGCAGGAUGAGGGCAAGCUGAUUGAUCAAAGCUAAAAUCUGAAAGCAAAGACAUCUAGCAUACUGUACAGCAGCUGCCGGCAACUCCAGUCUCUGAAGGCUGUGUGGUCUUCUGCAUUUCAUUCCACCUCAGGUCUCAGAAGUUUCGGCAUCAGACGUGCUCCCCGAACUCCCUUGCACAGCCUAUCAGAUGGAAAACUGAAAAGACUGAUGACUGCCUCUCCCAAAAGGCUCCUAUUGGUGGUGGGAAGAAACAAGCCCGGCCGAUUGGAUAGCGUUUCUGCGCCAUACCUGCAUUUUCCGUGGGAUUAAUUAAAAAGGAGAACAGCGUAGAGCAGUGGGCAGCAGUCCGGAUUUCAAACUGGAAGGCUGUGGGUUCAGAUCCCAGGUGUGAUCUCUGGCCCUCCCACUUAGACAAGGCCUGCUGGCUGCAGAGUGAGACAUGCACUGCCUAGAAAAAAACAGGAGGAGGUGGGAAGCACACUUAGCAGACAAGAUUUGUAGAAACAAGAAGAAUUACCUUUCAAAAUGACUCAGUGACCAGAGACAUUUACAAUAAUAUUCGUCUGCCAUUGCUCUUAGUAGAGCUGGUAGUUCUAAGAAGACUUCCCCUCUUGUGGAUGUAGAUUAACGCAAGGGCAAGUGAUUAUAGCUGCUGAGGUCAGCAACUAACACGUUUUUAACCACUUUAUUGCAUCAGUAGGUGACAAUGUGACUCUACAACAAUGUCAAUGAUGUUAAUAGAACACCGGUUUGUUUCCUGUAAAUCACCUGAUUUCACUCUCCAAUGUUUGGAAAGUCUACAGGUGAUCACCAAUAAAAGGAGGUGAUCCUUGGAUGCUCAGUGUAAACGAAGUACUGUUGACAGUGAUACUUGUUAUAGACCUCUGCUGUGUUAAUUUUGGUAUUUAAAAUUAAGGGCAAUAGCACAGAGUAGUGGUUAAAAGGGUUGAAUUUUGUGUAGGAUACUGCUGUUGUGUCUUUCAGUAAAACCUGAUGCAAAAGCAGAUACUCUCUAAGAAUGACUUUUUAACCUUUUCUACACC